This 497-nucleotide ribosomal RNA is filed under the name uncultured bacterium. RNAcentral describes it as "partial 16S ribosomal RNA". It matches the Rfam family "Bacterial small subunit ribosomal RNA", at positions 28 to 507 of the family's 1533-position model. The record is from RNAcentral.
GAUGAACGCUGGCGGCGUGCCUAAUACAUGCAAGUCGAGCGAGCAGACGAGGAGCUUGCUCCUCUGACGUUAGCGGCGGACGGGUGAGUAACACGUGGAUAACCUACCUAUAAGACUGGGAUAACUUCGGGAAACCGGAGCUAAUACCGGAUAAUAUAUUGAACCGCAUGGUUCAAUAGUGAAAGACGGUUUUGCUGUCACUUAUAGAUGGAUCCGCGCCGCAUUGGCUAGUUGGUAAGGUAACGGCUUACCAAGGCAACGAUGCGUAGCCGACCUGAGAGGGUGAUCGGCCACACUGGAACUGAGACACGGUCCAGACUCCUACGGGAGGCAGCAGUAGGGAAUCUUCCGCAAUGGGCGAAAGCCUGACGGAGCAACGCCGCGUGAGUGAUGAAGGUCUUCGGAUCGUAAAACUCUGUUAUUAGGGAAGAACAAAUGUGUAAGUAACUAUGCACGUCUUGACGGUACCUAAUCAGAAAGCCACGGCUAACUACGUG